RNAcentral lists this ribosomal RNA (497 nucleotides) under uncultured bacterium. Its description in RNAcentral is "partial 16S ribosomal RNA". It matches the Rfam family "Bacterial small subunit ribosomal RNA", at positions 28 to 507 of the family's 1533-position model. The record is from RNAcentral.
GAUGAACGCUGGCGGCGUGCCUAAUACAUGCAAGUCGAGCGAACGGACGAUAAGCUUGCGUCUCUGAUGUUAGCGGCGGACGGGUGAGUAACACGUGGAUAACCUACCUAUAAGACGGGGAGAACUUCGGGAAACCGGAUCUAAUACCGGAUAAUAUUUUGAACCGCAGGGUUCAAAAGUUAAAGACGGUCUUGCUGUCACUUAGAGAUGGAUCCGCGCUGCAUUAGCUAGUUGGUAAGGUAACGGCUUACCAAGGCAACGAUGCAUAGCCGACCUGAGAGGGUGAUCGGCCACACUGGAACUGAGACACGGUCCAGACUCCUACGGGAGGCAGCAGUAGGGAAUCUUCCGCAAUGGGCGAAAGCCUGACGGAGCCACGCCGCGUGAGUGAUGAAGGUCUUCGGAUCGUAAAACUCUGUUAUUAGGGAAGAACAUAUGUGUAAGUAACUGUGCACAUCUUGACGGUACCUAAUCAGAAAGCAACGGCUAACUACGUG